This 518-nucleotide ribosomal RNA is filed under the name Drosophila teissieri. RNAcentral describes it as "partial 16S ribosomal RNA". The stretch from base 269 to 428 matches the Rfam family "Bacterial large subunit ribosomal RNA", at positions 2473 to 2632 of the family's 2925-position model. Lineage: Eukaryota; Metazoa; Arthropoda; Insecta; Diptera; Drosophilidae. The record is from RNAcentral.
AUGGUUGGACGAAAUAUUAACUGUUUCAUUUAAAUUUAAAAUAGAAUUUUAUUUUUUAGUCAAAAAGCUAAAAUUAAUUUAAAAGACGAGAAGACCCUAUAAAUCUUUAUAUUUUAUUUAUUUUAAUUAUAAAGAUUAAUUUAAUUUUAAUAAAUUAAAAUAUUUUAUUGGGGUGAUAUUAAAAUUUAAAAAACUUUUAAUUUUAAAAAACAUUAAUUUAUGAAUAAUUGAUCCAUUAAUAAUGAUUAAAAAAUUAAGUUACUUUAGGGAUAACAGCGUAAUUUUUUUGGAGAGUUCAUAUCGAUAAAAAAGAUUGCGACCUCGAUGUUGGAUUAAGAUAUAAUUUUGGGUGUAGCCGUUCAAAUUUUAAGUCUGUUCGACUUUUAAAUUCUUACAUGAUCUGAGUUCAAACCGGUGUAAGCCAGGUUGGUUUCUAUCUUUAGAAAAUUAUAAUAUUUUAGUACGAAAGGACCAAAUAUUAAAAUAAUUAUAUUUUUAUAUAAGAAUAUUAUUAAUAU